This 425-nucleotide ribosomal RNA is filed under the name uncultured bacterium. RNAcentral describes it as "partial 16S ribosomal RNA". It matches the Rfam family "Bacterial small subunit ribosomal RNA", at positions 354 to 796 of the family's 1533-position model. The record is from RNAcentral.
GUUAGGAAUAUUGGACAAUGGGCGAAAGCCUGAUCCAGCCAUGCCGCGUGAACGAUGAAGGCCUUCGGGUUGUAAAGUUCUUUAGCCGAUGAUUAUAAUGACUGUAGUCGGAAAAUAAGCCCCGGCUAACUUCGUGCCAGCAGCCGCGGUAAUACGAAGGGGGCGAGCGUUAUUCGGAAUCACUGGGCGUAAAGCGUGCGGAGGCGGUUUUGUAAGUUAGGAGUGAAAGCCCAGGGCUCAACCUUGGAAUUGCUCUUAAAACUGCAAGGCUCGAAUCUCGGAGAGGAUAGCGGAAUUUCCAGUGUAGCAGUGAAAUGCGUAGAUAUUGGAAGGAACACCAGUGGCGUAAGCGGCUAUCUGGACGAGUAUUGACGCUGAGGCACGAAAGCGUGGGGAUCAAACAGGAUUAGAUACCCCAGUAGUCC